UCUCCGUUGGUGAACCAGCGGAGGGAUCAUUACCGAGUUUACAACUCCCAAACCCCUUUGACCAUCCCAUUUGUUGCCUCGACUGUGCCUUCUUCGGCAGCACGCCAGAGGACCCAAACCCUUGAUUUUAUACAGUAUCUUCUGAGUAAAUGAUUAAAUAAAUCAAAACUUUCAACAACGGAUCUCUUGGCUCUC
This 195-nucleotide unclassified non-coding RNA is filed under the name plant metagenome. RNAcentral's name for it is "partial contains small subunit ribosomal RNA, internal transcribed spacer 1, and 5.8S ribosomal RNA". The record is from RNAcentral.